UUGAUUUUUUGGCUUUUGCUGUCCAUUCUAAUGUCUUAGUAAUUCGUAAAAGCUAAUUUUCUUUUUUUCCCCAUAGAUACUGAAUUUUAGUUCACUGUUUACUAUUAAUUUCAUACUUGUUGAAAAUAGGUUGGUUGCUAGUAUUACUUCAUCCUUGUUCAUGUUUAUUAACUCUUAUAUUUAGCUUUUCUUGUAUGUUAAAUUAGUUGAUCUAUUUGUCAUAUUCAUAUGAACAGUAAUUUAGGAUUUCAUUAUGGUAAAUACUUUUAAGUUAUGCAUCCUGUUUACACCUGGUUGUAAUGAUUCUUGUCUUCUGUUCCUUAGCCUUUUUGUUGUUCCAUGCUUAGCUUUCUUUAUCACUCAUGUGUCUUAUAUCAAGAAUGCUAUCUGAAAUAUGGAGUUUAGUUUUACCAGUUUUAAGGUUUUCAUCUUCUUAUUUUUUUGUUCUUUGAAACUCUUUAUUCGUUGCAGAAAUUCCUUCUAUGUCGCAUACUUUUGUAAAAUUUGUUGGUGUGAUUUGUCAAAUAACAGACCAUUGGCUCUCAAUGCCAAUCGAGAGCCUGUUUGAAUGAG
Molecule: unclassified non-coding RNA, 573 nt
Filed under: Hevea brasiliensis (rubber tree)
Lineage: Eukaryota; Viridiplantae; Streptophyta; Magnoliopsida; Malpighiales; Euphorbiaceae
Source: RNAcentral